GGCCAUGUGUGUGUGUGUGUGUGUGUGUGUGUGUGUGUGUGUGUGUGUGUGUGUGUGAGCCAUGGUCACUGCUGACCCUCGCUGGCCUGACGCUCUG
RNAcentral lists this microRNA precursor (97 nucleotides) under Tupaia belangeri (northern tree shrew). RNAcentral describes it as "miRNA (ENSTBEG00000019780.1)". The record is from RNAcentral. Lineage: Eukaryota; Metazoa; Chordata; Mammalia; Scandentia; Tupaiidae.